GGAAAAGCUUUGAAGGAUAACAGUAAUCUGCUUUGCAAGCAGGAUGUCAGCGGUUCGAGUCCGCUAACCUCCA
RNAcentral lists this transfer RNA (73 nucleotides) under Trichocoleus sp. FACHB-90. RNAcentral's name for it is "tRNA-Ser". The record is from RNAcentral. Lineage: Bacteria; Bacillati; Cyanobacteriota; Cyanophyceae; Leptolyngbyales; Trichocoleusaceae. RNAcentral also lists the same sequence under 1 other name.